This 497-nucleotide ribosomal RNA is filed under the name uncultured bacterium. Its description in RNAcentral is "partial 16S ribosomal RNA". It matches the Rfam family "Bacterial small subunit ribosomal RNA", at positions 28 to 507 of the family's 1533-position model. The record is from RNAcentral.
GAUGAACGCUGGCGGCGUGCCUAAUACAUGCAAGUCGAGCGAACAGAUGAGGAGCUUGCUCCUCUGACGUUAGCGGCGGACGGGUGAGUAACACGUGGAUAACCUACCUAUAAGACUGGGAUAAUUUCGGGAAACCGGAGCUAAUACCGGAUAAUAUAUUGAACCGCAUAGUUCAAUAGUGAAAGACGGCUUUGCUGUCACUUAUAGAUGGAUCCGCGCCGCAUUAGCUAGUUGGUAAGGUAACGGCUUACCAAGGCAACGAUGCGUAGCCGACCUGAGAGGGUGAUCGGCCACACUGGAACUGAGACACGGUCCAGACUCCUACGGGAGGCAGCAGUAGGGAAUCUUCCGCAAUGGGCGAAAGCCUGACGGAGCAACGCCGCGUGAGUGAUGAAGGUCUUCGGAUCGUAAAACUCUGUUAUUAGGGAAGAACAAAUGUGUAAGUAACUAUGCACGUCUUGACGGUACCUAAUCAGAAAGCCACGGCUAACUACGUG